Long non-coding RNA from Antechinus flavipes (yellow-footed antechinus), 4728 nucleotides. RefSeq lists it as uncharacterized. NCBI's taxonomy places the organism in Eukaryota, Metazoa, Chordata, Mammalia, Dasyuromorphia, Dasyuridae. The record is from RefSeq and is a predicted model, not a curated record. The transcript is spliced from 3 exons.
UCAGCAAAAUUUCUCCAGCCAGAGCAGAAGGGAGUGCAGAUUAACAUUUUAUUGGGUCCAGAGAGACUGGGUUGGGCUUGGGAGAAGGGCGGGUGGGUGAUUUUUUUGGAGACAAUAUAAAUGUGAGGGGAUGAUUGAGGGAAAUCUUACCUGGCCUAGAACUGGGUAAAUGACCACAGAAUUCCCCUUUCCUUUCUCUCUGGUCCAGCAGCUCCCCGCAGCCCCUCCCCCCUCCGCGUUUGAUGUGCAGACAGGCCCGAGGGAGGGGUGAGGGCGGGGGCGCGUAAUUAAUCACAAGUUAAAGGAAUUAAAUUCAGCCGGGGAUGUCAGCAGCCAGCGGCGGCCCGGUCACCCGGGAAAUUACCGGGGGACGGGGAGGGGGACAGCCACUCCACAGUGUAGGGGGUGGGGAAAGUCUUCCCAACUCUAGCCCCCACCCCACCCACAUCCACAAGCGUCAAUGGAGGGGUGGGGAGCAGCCUGGGAGUUGUCGCUAAGGGAAUGCCUUUGUGCUGCUCUCGUUAACGUGUUCCCGCUCUAUUCUCUGCGAGCGUGCGGCUGCCUGUAUCGCGGGUGGUGUAUGUGCUGCUUCAUGGGCGUUACAAGGGCGUGCGCAAGCCGGGUUACUGUGUCCCAACGGCGCGUGUGACUGUAUCUCCGCUGGGGAACUCCCGUAAGGCCUAGCUCCGGGCGCGAGGCUGGUUACUGUGUAUCGCCGCGCAGCUACCGUUGCGCCGUAAGACGUUACAGUGUCCCCCAAGCCCUUCAUUGUCUCCGCGGUAGCGGUGUUAGCGACGCAGAGACUAGCGCGCGUCUGCGAGGAGAUGUGCUGUCACUGCAGCCUCCCGGACUGUGGUUUUGCCCUUAGUUCUCUCGUCUCCGUUUCUACGCAUCCCACGUGCCGCUCUGGGUUGGAUCCGGGUCAAGGUCAUCAUUAAUAAACUCUUGGAAUGAGGAGGGGGCAGGGGAGGUAUUUGUAGAAAGGAAUGCCGAGGGGUGCCCUGGGGCUUAGUGGUUUCAAUUUAGAAACGAAGGGCCGAUCUCACUUGCGGGUGAGGGAGAAGAGCAAUUUGGGGAGUCAGCUUUUAAAAGCUGAGGGGGGAGAGGUAAUGGGGGACGCAGCCCUCCCCGAUGUCAGGCCUGCAAUCCGUACGUACCAGGGGUUGCUCAACGCCCACGAGCCGCCAGCGUCUGUGGCCUGCUCCCACCCUUUCCGCUCGCUCGCAGGAGGGAAAAAGCGAAAAGCCGCGUCGGAUCCUCUUUAUUCACACUGACCGGGGGCGGGGGGUGGAGGUGGGGAAGCGGCUACAAACUGCCGGAUGUCUAAGCGAGGCAGAGGAGACCCGGCUGACCGGGCUACGGCCAUCGCUGGGAGAAGCCUCCGGGCAGAGGCUGGGAUAUAGACUAGCAUCUGAUUAGAACGAAUCCCCGGGAAAGGAAACGUGUGUUAUUGGGAGUCCUUAAAAAUGAGGGGAGGGGACAGAAUAGGUGAAAGUUUAUAGGGGCUGGGGAGCCCUAGAGUUCAGAAGGCGGGAGCUCGGUGGGAGAGGCGGAGUCUGGCGCCAGAGGGAUCUCUCUACCUAGAAGAAUGAGGGACUGGGGAGACAGCGGUAUAGUCAGAUUGGGACUAUGUUAAGAGAAAGACGAGGGCGAAUAGACCACGCAGACCCGAGGAGGCGACUGGGAUAAGGAAGAACACUAUCGAAGACUACUCGGUUUUCCAAAAAGUUGAGAAAAUCGAUACAUCUCAGAAGCACGGGUUCAGGAGUAAGGAAACCAGCUUCAUAGAGAUGUUUAGGACCCUUAAAAGGGAGUGGCAGGAGGAACCAUGCAGAAUCCUGACCCUGCCUUCCAAGUACAAUAGGAAUAAACGGGGGAGGGGUCCAGUGAUGCAGUUAUUCUGGGACGGAAAGACCCCAGAGAGUGGGAGCAUGGGAUAUAGAGGCUGGAGUGGAAGGACAAUGAAUGGAAGGAGAACGGUGUACGAAUAAAUCAAUAAACCGAGCAAUAGAAGUCCAUCAGGCACCCGGGAUCCUCUGAGCAGACCCAAAUGAAUGGGCGUUCCCCCAGCAGCCUCAAACUUCAGAUGAAAAAGCUUGGAUAGAAAGAAGAGAAGUACCCGGUCCAGAGAAGCCCAAAUACCCCACCCCCCUGCCUCUUGCUGGCCUCAGGUCAAGGAGCCUGAGAGAAACUGGAUCCAUUGGAUUCUGGGAGAUGGAGUUGGAGGAGGAGAAAGGGGUGAGUGAUUAAUGAGGGAGAUUAAACCUCAAGGCCCAGAGGUCAUCUCUUCCCCGCCCCCCCACCUCACCAUGGGAAAUUGAGAAGGGCUCUUACUUAGGAAGAGGGCAGGGAGUGAAAUCAACUGAAGAUCCUCCCAUUACCUGACACUCAUCACUCCCCCUAACCCACCCUCUGCCACAACAUACCACUCUAAAACCUGGUCAGUAUGAUCACUGAUUCCCCCCCCAACAUCUUAUGACAGAUGUUCCUUGAACUUGAUCCCUGAAAACCCCCUUAUCCCCUGUGACCAUUGCGACAAACUCGUGCCAUGUCUUCAGAUAGCCCAUUACUGACCCAUAUUGCACACAUCACAACCACUGACCUCACAACCUGUCCCUGAAUUUUCGCUGCCCUCAUAACCCAUCCCCACCGUUACUGAGUCUGCCCUUCCCCUCAUACAUCUUAACAGAGUUCCCAUGACCCACACCACUAAGGCAUCCCUUACAAUCUGGUCUCAGCUCUUACCUGCCCCCGUCAUUGAAGCUCCACCCACAUACAUGGGGGGCUCAUACAGCCGCUACUCCUUGAAACCUCAUUCUCCCACCCUUCUCACUCAUCAAGGGACACAACACUUAAACCACGGACCCUACCUAUAUCUCCUAAAUGCUCACAGCAAAUCACUAGCAAUCCAAUGUAUUCCUGGAGACUGACCACCCCACCCCACCCCACCCCAUCUCAAAUCAUUCCUCAUCAUUGCCAAUCUCUAUUUUUUUUGCCAUUCCUCCCCUCUACACAUACGACUGAUCAAUAUUUCUUAAACUACAUUGUGCUCACUACCAGUUAUUCACUUUUCUGUAUUCCUCUGGGAUUUUGGAAUGAAUUCAGCUAAAAGUGGAUAUGGCCGUUCAUCCCUUCAUGUUAUGUAGGUACUGGGAAGCAAUUUCUAUCAAAAUCAAAGCGUGGCUUGAGCUGUAUCCUAGAAAAGCCUCUCAGCCCCAUUUCCUCAUCUGUUUUUACCUCUCCUUUUUUACUACACCUUCAAGACUUGGAACAGGUAGUAUAUAAAGUAGGAAAACUUGGAGUUAGCUCUUCCACGUAUUGUGAUCCUGAGUAAAUCACCUUCCUUCUCUGAGCCUGUUUCCAAACUAGAGAAUCCAGAAUAUUUGCACCUAAAUGUCUUGCCAUUAUAAAUUUAAUUGAAAGUAGAGGGGAAUGGAAACAAUGUAAAUCAACACGUUAUGUUUUUUGUUUCGUGGUUUUUUUUUUCCCUUUAGUUCUCUCCCAACAUGAUUCAUAAGGAAAUGAAUUUUUUUUAAUGUACAUAUAACCAGAAACUUUUUUUUUAAUGUGGGGGGAAACCGAUACGUAAAAGUGCUAUAUUCUGUCUUCAACUUUGUAAAUCUACAUCAGAUGGUAUGUAACCCAAGUGCUCUGGUAGAUACUUUUAGGAUUUAGAACCAGAGAGAACAUUGGACCCUCUCAUCGAAUAGACAAAGCACUUUGUAAACCUUAAAAAUGUUUCAUCUCUGGGAGAAAUGAAGUCCAGAAAAAUGGCAAUCAAUUGAAUCCAAGUUAUAUCAGCCAAGACCAGAACUUGAAUAAGUUCUCCCAAGAUCCUGAAUGCAAAGUUCUUUCCAUAACACAGUGCAUGUGUCCAUAUGUGCUAUAUUCGAUUUUACUUUUCAGUCCUUUGGGGACAUCACGGGGAGGGCAAGGGCAGGGAAAGAGUCACCUUCAUCCCUGACAGCUGGGAACAGCUGGGGGGCAGAGGGAGGGAGGGGAGGGAGAGGAGGGAGAGAAGGCAGAAAGCUGAGGACAGACAGCAUCCAGGACUCUCAGCUUUCUGGCCAGAAGGAGGGGAAACAGUGUGGAAACAGGCGGAGCAUGUGGUAAGGGCUCCGGGUACCUUUUCUUUCUCAAUCCCGUUUGGAACCUGGUUGCCAUUUUUUUGUUCAAAUCUGGACAGUUCUCCCUCCCCCCCCCACCCCCGCCCUUCGCCCCUCCCAAAGGAGCUCUUCUCUGAGACUCCUGGGAUCCAGAUCACAAUGAAGCCCGUCCCCCUCCGGAGAUGAAGACCCAAAAUGGGUUCUCAUUAGGAGGGGAAUAAAGGAGGCUGGUAGAUUCAGGGCCCGAAUGGCCCUACAGCUGGUCUGAAUCAGUGGUGGUGGAGAGGGAGCAGCUGCCAAAGCAAGAGCUUGGCCAAACCUUUCCCCCACCCCCUGUUGAUGAAAGACACAAAGAAGAUCCAGACUAGAGGUCUGAGCCUAUGGGCAGAAGCAUCUUUGAAGGGCAUGGGGGGAGGGGAUGAUUGAUCCUGGGCAGAGUUUCAGCUUUCUAGGUUACACACUUGGGGUGUCCCCCCCCAAAAUCCUGGCUAUUAAAACACUUGAUCACUGGGUUUUCCCUGUUCAAGGCUUCAUCACACCUAAGGCUGGGUCCCCCUCACUAGGACAAUAAUAACUGCCCCCCUCUUCCCCCCACCCCAACCCUUCCUGGAUUUCGAAAUUU